This 253-nucleotide ribosomal RNA is filed under the name uncultured bacterium. Its description in RNAcentral is "partial 16S ribosomal RNA". It matches the Rfam family "Bacterial small subunit ribosomal RNA", at positions 524 to 776 of the family's 1533-position model. The record is from RNAcentral.
GACAGAGGUGCCGAGCGUUAGGCGGAAUCACUGGGCUUAAAGCGUGUGUAGGCGGACCGUUAAGUACCUUGUGAAAUCCUGCGGCUCAACCGCAGAACGGCUGGGUAUACUGGCGGUCUUGGGCCACCUAGGGGCAGAUGGAACAGACGGUGGAGCGGUGAAAUGCGUAGAUAUCGUCUGGAACGCCGAUGGUGAAAACAGUCUGCUGGGGGUGUGCCGACGCUGAGACGCGAAAGCCAGGGGAGCAAACGGG